AUUGAGGAUAAGCCUUGGCAGCAUUCAGAAACGCAUCUCUCGUGUAGAAGCUCUUGCCGGCACAACUCGCGGCUGCCUGAUUCUUUAUGCCGUCGAAGAACUGGGGAGUCACAAUGCUAGCAACAUUUUGACACAUUACUUUGGUGGGAAAAGCUAGGGCAAGAAUGCCCACAAGAGCAAAGGUUACAAUAUUUUUUUUCAUGUUAAGUGGAGCCAUUUUGUUUAGGAGUAGAGAAAUGUGAGUGAUAUGCAAAUGUUGGUGAUGGGAGUACGGUAUUUAUAGAGUGCAAAAUGGACGUUAUGUCUGCCACGUGCUGGUGAAUUGUGAUAAAUUUGAACAUAGAGUUUAUCUCUUGUUAGGUUUUUCUAGACUUCGCAUUUGUUGUGGCUUGAAAUCUAGCUGGCUUGACUUGUCAAAAGAACUAGAAAUAAAAUAAAAGAAAAUAAAUCAAAUCUUUCGAGUGGGUUGUUGAUUGACCGCCAUCUAUAUUAAACUUUUUCAAAUUAAAUUUGAAUAAUAAUUGUACAAAAUAUAAUUUUAAAUAACUAAUUUUCAAUAAAUUUUGAGGAAAUUUGUUUUUUAAUGUAACUGAAUUAAUUGUAGAUUGGAAAAUCUUAAACUCAUACUUGUUUCGAGCUUUCAGAUAUUGAAACUCAGACAUGUUUAUUUUUAAUUAUCUACCUACUUUGUUUAUAUAUAUACACAUGCACUAGACUUUACACAAAUUUUAACAAAAAAAUAUGUGGUUUGUACUCAUUUGAGUGAUUUAAAUUUUUUUAGGUUUGUUAAUUAAUAACUAAUAACAUGGUAUCAUAUUUUCUCAGCUAAAUACUUAUUUGGUCUGUGUAUUUUUCAGUUAAGUAUCCAUUUAAUCUCUUUAUUUUAGAAAAUAUUUCAAGACAUCUUUACUGGUAAAUAUAUUACAUUCCUACCCUGAUCUUUUCUUUGAUUUUAGAAUAAUACCCUUACAAUAAUAUUGUUGGAGAUUCAAUGAAAAGAAAAAAAAAAUGAAUUUAUCAAAUUAGUCUUAAAAGUAAGAUAAAAAUUACUCUAUCUAUUUUUUGUUAUCUUAAUUUUAGGAUUAAUUUGNNNNNNNNNNNNNNNNNNNNNNNNNNNNNNNNNNNNNNNNNNNNNNNNNNNNNNNNNNNNNNNNNNNNNNNNNNNNNNNNNNNNNNNNNNNNNNNNNNNNUUAGCUUAAACAUUGCUUUAAAUUAGUUGGUUUUAAUUUAUCAUAAAUGGUUACUAGUUGUUGUAGAAUGAUAUUUAUUUCUAAUUUUCUAAUAUAUUGGUUAAUAUGCUAUUUAUUUUUUUAGAUAAAAAAUUAAUGCCAAAAAUAUUAUUGUUAGUAUUGUUGUAAAAGGUAAGAAAAAAAUAAGAGGAAGAUCGUAACAUAUUUAAAAUAGGAUGUCUUUACAUUUUUUUUUAAAAUAUGUGGACAAAAAAGAUAUUUAAAUUAAAAUAUAGGAUAUAUACCCUAAUUUCUUUAUAACUUAAUUUCCUUUCUUUCCUUAAUUCUUUUUCCUUUUUUUAGUGAUAUCAGUUAUCACAAUGUAAAAAUUAAUAAUCAGUCCAAACAUCUGAGUUUUUUUUAAUAUUUUCCGUUUAUAAAUACUGAAAUAUUUAUGUAUAUCUUCGAAACUGAAAAGUCAAGCCUUCCACUAACUCCCGUUCUCAAUUAGCGGCGUAAAUUUGGGUCCAUGAAAUGAAAGCAAUUCUUCUUGUACCCUUUUCUCCACACUAGUUCUUCUCGUUCUCUUCUCGGCAUUGAUAUUCUGGUGUGUCACUAAUCAAUUUAAUAUCUCAAAAUAUUUUGGUGACGUCCUAAUGUAUACAAACUUUCAUUCUCAAGUACAAGGGUUUCAUCUGUUUUAAUAAAAUCAAUAUUUAAUAUAUUAUAAAAUCAUGUAAUUUAAUAAUAUGUUUGUACUAAUUUUAUUAAAUCAUAUGACUCAAUAACGUGGCAUAUGAAAUAAACAAUAAGCUGUCCACAUGAAAAAAAAAAGUUUAUAUAUAUACUUAUAAAAUUAAUUAGAAAAUAUCCUUAUUAAAAAUCUAACCGAUCAAAGGAGCUUCUAAAACUUUCACGUAGGAUAAGUUGUCUUUUUCCAUACAAAUACUUAAAAACUUUUUUCUGAUACAAACCCCAACAUAUGAUUAUGGCCAUAGAAAAUUUGAAAAUUUUGUCCCAAAAAAAAACUUGAAAGAAAAGCUUAAAACUAAUAACGAAAAAUAGGAUAAAUUAAUCAAACACAUGAUGACCAAUUUUGCAUUAAUCUAUUUGUGAUAGCCAAUUUUAAUCAAAAUAAAUAUAUCUGCAAUCGGAAAAAUAACUUUUUUUUUUUUACUUCGAUAUUAGAAACAGGCAGCCACUGAUUGGGACCAUCAAGUAUACAAGUUUACAACGGUACGAAACUUGUUUCGAUUGCAUUCGGCUGCCCGAAAAACGGGAAAAAAAGAAAACAGAUUUUCUUUGUAAUGUCGGUAGCAUGUUCUUUUGACAAGUUUAAUAAAAGAUUCAAAGAAAAUCUAUGACUUUUUACUCAAAACUUUCCACCUGGGGAGAUGAAAACUGCACAGUUAAAGCAUCAAACACAUUGUUCAUGAAUCAUGAUCAAAGGAAAAAAAAUUUCUGAGCUGGAUUGAAAACAUCAAAAUCAGUAUUCAUAAAUCAUGAUAAGAAGAUAAAAGUUCUCUUUGUCGGAUAAGAAACAUUAGCUUUUCAGAAUUUUUUUUUUUUUUAAAAUGAACUUAGAAGGAUUCCAAGUGUCCCUUUUACUAAUUUAUAAAUAGGGUAAUUUGCCCUUAUUUGUAUGAAAAGCCAACCACAUCCUCCUGACAAAAAAAAAAAAAAGGGGCAAAAAGCCAACCUCAUCCGUCGAAUCAGCCAGUAAUUUUUUACACGUGUACAAUUUUUGGGAUUUCUUAACACAUGCUGUUUGGAAAGCAUCUCGUAUCGCCCAAAAUAAAAAGUGCAUAAUUUUCUUUUUUUCAAAGGUUCUUUUAUAAAUGAUAUCGGUCAAUGGAAUUAUUGUUUUGCUCUAAUUUUUUAUUAGGCUCUUCUCUUGGGAUUUUUGUCCUUCAUUCUAAGCCUUCUGACAAAUCACAAUUGGGGCUACUUUGAAUGAUAAAGCUUGCUGGACUUAUGACUAGGCUCCUUUUGGUAUGUCAUUUCAUUUGAAUAUGUAAUUUCUUUAAUUACGUUUGAAAAGGAAAAAUAUGACAAGAAAGAGGAGUACACUAUAAUAGUUGUCUGAGUCUGAUAAUGGACUGUACAGUGCUUACCUUGAUAGAACUCAGUGCACAAAGUAGUUGAGCAUACAUAACAAAAUCCCCAAACUUUACUCCGUUGCCAAACAUGUCUAAGUUAAAUUUACUCUAUUAUAAAAAAGUCUUGGGCGUUGGGUGUUUUAGGAGCACCACAUCAUUCACAUUCACAUUAUAAUAUUUGAGCAAAAGAAAAUUGCCUAAAAUAUGUAUGAUUAUCUGCAGGCUUUAAGUUUUAUCCAAUUAAAGAAUUGAAUGUUCAUCAUUUAUCAAAUUAAUAACUAGUUUUUAAAGAAAUUAUGGCUCUAAAGUAUUUCCAGUUUUCUUUAAUUUCAUAGACGAGUCAAUUAACAACAAAAAUAAUCCAUUAAUUUAUGGCAGACGAGAACAAUAUUUCAAUUGCAAAUCAACCUGAAAGUUGUUUACAAACAUAUCAUAAUCUAUAGGAACAAAUCAGUUAUAUAUAUAUAUAUAUAUAUCUUAUGGCAAAAAAAAAACAUACAAAUUAACUUUAUUCUUGAUUUUUUUCUACACGACAAUAGUUGUUUACAAUUGUAUGAUUCUGGCUGAUGGAGGUAUAAACCACAAAUCAUGUGAUUAGUAAUUAGUUCUUUCAACUAUUGUUCAAGCAAUAAAGAGUCCCAUUUCAUGGCCAAGAUUGCACGUCAACCAGAAAAAGACAUGAUCUUAAAUGAUAUAACAAAAUAAAUAUGUAGUAAUUUCACUUACAAACUAAGGGUAUUUUUUACUUUCCUCCAUUGAUUAUUCAAAAAAACUUCCGCUGACCUGAAAACAUUUUUUACCAUAACAGUUGUGUGGCUGUUUAGUGGACCUUGAGGCGUUCCAUAGGACAUCCACUGAUUCCAAAUAAAAAACGCACCCUUUGUUGAGUCCGGCCCAAUACAUCUUUUGUCAUCUACAAUAAAUUAUUUUACAAUUUAUGUUUAUGAUUUUUGGACUUAAUAACAGCGGUUCAUUGACAAUCUACUUUAACAGUAAGGGAACCUAUUUUUAGGUUGCAAAACUUGCAGCAAUAAAUUAGCUUCCCCAAAAGAGAAAUAAAGAUUUCACAUUCUAAUUAAAUAUCAAGGAAAUUAAUUAAUUGUGCUCCAUUAUUCCAACUUCCGAGAUCAGUACAUCAAAAUUGAACAUUAAUAAUUAAAUUGUUCAAAACUUGUUUCGAUAAGCUAGCUAGUUCCCAAAUGGAAGUAUAAGAUUUCACUUCCUUAGAUAGACACGAUAAUCUUUCACUAUAAAUUUAAAUUAAACCUUAUUAAAGGUCUUGAAUUCAUUGUACGCACAUAGUUUGAACCUCAUAUAGACCACCAACGUAACCAUGAAGAAAACUAUCUUCUAUAAAAGAUUUUCCCACCAAAGCUGAACAAGUAUCAGAUUUAGGGUUAGGAUUAGGAUUUGUCAACAUUUAGAAAUUUGGAUUUAGAUUCAGGAUUUGGCAACAUUCGAAUUUCGGGUUAGGUUUUGGUAGUUUUCCUGUUGUAUUUUAAUGGCUAUUAACAAGAAAUUAAUCAACUCACACAACUUUGAUCAAUUAAAGACAGAAUGGAAUCAAGAACAGAAAAUGAUUCAGUCAAACAAGAACCUAGAAAACUAUUCACAGUGAACAAGCUUCCAAGUUUCAAAGGAAAAAUGAACAAGAUCUCAUUACUCAAAUGCUUUACAAUCAGAUCAAUUGUUUUGAGGACACUUCAAGGAUUCCAAAGAAUCUAGAAUCACCUUUUUUAGCUAAGAAACAAAAGAGAAAUCACACACAAAGCAAUGCACAGCAGGCCCUUUCAUAUUUUGGAAAUUUUCUAGAAACACCUUAACAACCUUUAACCUUUUUGCCACAUUAGCGCAGAAUUUACAAAUUGACUCCUCAUUUGAAGUCGAUUUGCACAUUACCCAACAACUUUCAUUCGAUUACAUUUUAGUCCAAAAACAUAACUCAUGUCCUCACACUCUCCACCUUGCAGAUCUGAUUCAGCAUUACUCUUGACCAUAAGUGCUUUAAAAAAAAAACCUUCAACCACGCAACUUAACAACUAGAACCAUUUCCAAUACCAAUCAAGUCUACACAAAUCUUAAAUUUGGCUGUUGGAAUUACUUCUGUUAACAUAUCAGUAGGGUUGAUAUCUGUAUAUAUUUUUGUUACUACAACAAACCCUUUUGCGACCUCAUCUCUGAUAAAGUGCAACUUCAUAUCAAUGUGUUUGGUUCUCCCACGAUAAAUUUCAUUUUUUAUAAGCUGAAUCGCACUCUAAUUAUCACAAAAGAUCUAAAUUGUCUUUUGUUUCAACCAAAAUUCAUUCAGUAGCCUUCUCGGCCACAAUGAUUCUUUUACUGCCUCUAUUGCAGCAAAAAUUCAGCCUCAGUAGAUAACAAAGCUACUAUGUGUUGUAAAGUAAGUUUCCAACUUAUGAGACAAUUUUCUAGCAUGAACAGGUAUCCAGAGAUAGAAUUUCUCCUAUCUAAGUCACCUGCAAAAUUAGAGUCCACAUAGCCUCUAACUUCAUAGACUUCUUGCUUGGAUUUGCCAUACACCAGACCAUGAUCUAAAGUACGUUUCAAGUACCUCAUAACCCAUUUCAUAGCAUCCUAAUAAAGCUUAUCAGGAUUACUCAUAAACCUGCUUACUACACUUACUGCAUAAGCUAUGUCUGCUCUGGUGCAAGCCAUUGCAUACAUUAAGCUUCCUACAGCCAGUAAAUAUAGAAUUUCUUAGCAUAUGAUAUUGGAGACAUAUCAUUAGAGAGUUUAAAUUGAGCUCCCAAAAGUGUCAUUACAGGUUUUGAAUCCAUCAUAAUAUACUUUUCUAACUCCUUACUGACAUAUCUUGAUUGGCUUAGAAACAAAGUACCAACAACUCUAUCUCUAAGAAUAUCCAUAACAAGGAUCAUCUUAGCACUGCCAAGAUCUUUCAUUUCAAAUUCCCCCUUUAAUAAAUUCUUAAGUUUCUCAAUAUCACUAGAAUUUUUACCAACAAUGAGUAUAUCAUCAACAUACAACAAAAGAUACAUAGCUCCACCUGAGCUUAUGUUCCUAUGAUAGACAUGUUGUACAAAUUUUAUUGAACUCGCAAGUGCACGAAUCUAUUUUAGAAUAGAUCAAUGGUGACAAGUGUCGAUCCCACGAGGAGGUGGAUUUUAAUUGUGUGUAGAAUUAAUUUUUCUAAAUGGGUGGUUGGAAUUAUGGUAAAGAUGAUUUGGAAUAUCUUAAAAUUUAAAUUGAAAUGGCAGAAUUAAAUUAAAAUGGAAACUAUAAUAAUUGAAGCGCUUGGGUAUCUAGAUCCGCAUCAACAUGCACCAUGGGCUAAAUAUUUCUUAUUAAUGCCAAUUAAAUCAUGAGGGGGGAAUCCACACCUCAUGAACCACACUCUAAUCAAUAUGGUGCUAAGAGCUUAUCGUACCAAAUAAUAAUAACUUUGUACUAGGGAGCCGGUAAAAUCAGUGCGGUAUCUAGACAAGAUUAUUAUUAUUUGUCGACGAAAAGUCAAAACAUCCACAAAAAUUAGAGGUGAAGAGAAAAUAAAUUUACCAAAUAAAGCCCAUGACAUAUGUUGAGACUUCACCUUCAACCCAAGCUUGAAAGAAAAUUAACUACUCAUAAUUGAACUAGGAGCAAAAUAAGAAUUUAUUAAAAUACGUAGAAAAUACAAGAUGGAGAAGGAAUUAUAGAAAAUGGAACUUAAAAUUGAAUUCAGAGAUAUCAAAAUAGGGGGGAGAGGUCCUAUUUUUAUAGAUACAUUGAGUAAACAAUGGCUAUCGAAUUAAAAACAGUUUGAACGCUCAGGAUUGCGCCACGUCAUCAGUCAACAGUACGCAGUUUGACCACGCGGUUUGAACAGUGAUACGGUUUGACCACACGGUUUGAACAGUCAACUGGUUUGAAUAGUGACACGGUUUGGUUGAAAAUAAUCCUGUGUAUAUGCAUGUACUGUACGCGCGAUUUUUAGUCCACUGAUAUGCUGCCGCGUCACCAAUCAACAGUGCAUAAGAAUUUUCUCCAAUGGAAUCGUGUCACCUCGUCAGUCAAUGCCACAUCAUCGGUCAAUGCCACGUCAUUGAUCCGUCUAUGUGAACAGUGUCGUGAACAGUAACGUAAACAAUACCGUACAUGUGAAUAAUAUCGUACAUGUGAACAAUGAUAUUUUUCCUUUUAUGCUCCUCCUAAGGUUUUCGACUGUCCUGAGUUCAAAAGUGAUGUCCGUUUUGCCGUCUGAUCUCUAGUUCAUUGUGAAAUGACCAUGAUGUCCCUAAAAUACAUAAAAUACUUAAUUAAAAUAAAACAUAUAUAAUUGAAUCACAAGAAACUUAAAAUACAUAAAAGUAAGGGUGUUAAUAAGACUUGAAAUGUAAAAUGACGAUUUUCUCCUUUAUAAAUAUAUAUUUUCUAACACUCAACAAGAUACAAUUAUCAUAUGUGCUCUUGUAAUAGCCAUUAGAGAUCAUAAACUGGUCAAAUCUCUUACAUUGCCUAGGAGACCCUUUCAAGCCAUAUAGAGACUUAUGCAGAAGACAUACAUAAUCCUUAUGUCCCUUUACUUAAAAACCUUCAGGCUGUGACAUUAAUAUCUUUUCUUCAAGAUUAUCAUGUAAGAAGGCAGUCUUUAUAUCCAUUUGUUCAAGCUCUACAUGAAGCAAAGUCACCAUAACAAGUAAGGUUCUAAUUGAUUUGUGUUUUACAGCAUGUGAGAAGAUUUCAUUAAAAUAUACCCCUCAUUUUGAAACCCCUUGCCACAAGUCUUGCCAUAUAUCUUGAGUCUUUAACACAUGGAAUACCCUCAUUCUUCUUGAAUAUCCAUUUGCAGCUGACAAUUUUCCUAUUUCUUGGAUUAGAAACCAAUGUCCAUGUCUGAUUCCUUACCAGAGAAUCCAUCUCUUCCCUUAUUGCUUUAAUCUAGUUAUUGUUGUACUUAGUGCUUUUGCGUAGCUGCUAGGCUUUUCAAUUGAAACAUCCUCUACACUCGUCAAUGCAUAUGCAACUAUGUCUGUAUAUGCAUACCUUUUUGGGGGUAUGAUAUGUCUUCUUUAUAUGUCCAUAUCUAAUUGAUAUUAUUGCAGAUCAGUAACUUGUGGUGCUGCAUCUUCAAUUACUACUGUAUCUUGAGAAUAAUCUUCAACAGCUUCUGGUUGUACUUCAUCUUUAUGAGCACUAGACAACUCUACCUCAAUAUUAACACCUUGAUUAAUGACUCCAGUAGUCAGUGUCUUAUUUACAUUAAUAUCAGUAUCAGAAGUUACUUGAUCAGACUUAUUGAUUACAACAACUUCAUUAAACAGAAUAAAUAAUUAAACACUUAUUAGCUUUUCCACACCAAACUCUGUAGCCUUUAACCCCAUCUAUAUAACGAACAAAUGCUCAUUUGACAGCUUGUGCAUCAAGCUUCCCUUGUCUAAUAUGAACAUACGUAGGAUGCCCAAAUACCCUGAGAUAUUUAUAGCUUGCAAGUUUUCCAGACUAGACUUCUUAUGGAGUUUUGAACCCAAUGGCUGAUGAUGGACUUCUAUUAAUGAGAUAACAGGCUGUUGAGAUAGCUUCAACCCAAAAACUCCUUGGUAAUUAAUAAUUGAUCAAUAAGCAUCUUGUCUUAUAAACAAGGGUUCUGUUCAUCUUUUCAACUAAGCCAUUUUGCUGAGGGGUGAGCCUUACCGUCUUAUGCCUCUUAAUCCCUCAUUCUUGAUAAAAAAAAAACUUUAAACUCUUUAUUACAGAAUUCAAGUUCAUUGUCUGUCCUAAGGCAUUUCACUUUGAAACCAUAUUGAGCCUCCACCAAAGCCUUCAAGACUUUAAACUUUUCAAAGACUUGAUCUUUGGUUUUCAAAUAUAUAUACCCAAACCUUUCUGGAGUAAUCAUUUAUCACAGAUAUAAAGUACUUUCCACCACUUAGAGAAGAGACCUGACCAGGCGCUCAAAGAUCAGCAUGCACAUAGUCUAAAGGUUGUUUAGACACAUGCAUCCCUUUAGUAAAUUUGACAUGUGUGCUUUGCUAAAAAUACAGUUUUCACAUAAGUCUAACUCAAUUAUUUUGUCACCACAGAGCAACCCUUGAAUACUUAAUUUUUGCAUUCCCCUAAUACUCAUAUGGUCAGGUCUAAGAUGUCAUAACAUAGUUCUAUCAAGCUCAGAAAUAGUUGUCAUUAUAGUUGACACAAGCACUGAUGAUCCUUCUAAUAUAUAAAGACCAUUUUUCUUAAUCCCUUUCAUUACCAUCUCAGUCCUUUUCAUAAUCUUUAAACCACUAUUUUCAAAUUUGAAGAAGUAUCAUGUACUAUCCAGCAUGCCUAAAGAGAUUAAGUUCCUCUUUAGCCUAGGUGUAUGUCUCACAUCACAUAGAGUUAUAACAAUCCCAUCAAACAUCUCUAUUUUGAUAAACCCUAUACCAAAAAUCUUACACACAUUGUUGUUUCCCAUCAAAACUCUACCACUAUCCACAUAUUCAUACUCAUAAAAAAAACUUCUAUCAGGACACAAAUGAAAGGAACAAUCUAAAUCAAGGACCUAAUAACCUCUAAUGUUGUUGUUUAAGGCUACCAACAAGUCAGCACUAUGGUAUCCAUCAUCAGAUAAAUCAUCUGAGGCCACUGCUGCAUCUCAUAUUCUCUCUUUAUCAUAUUUCUUUUUCUCAGAACAAUCUCUAAUGUAAUGGCCUUGUUUCUUACAGUAAAAACACUUCCUCUUCUUCAUUUUUUUUCUUUUGCAGAUCUAUCAAAAUUGUACGUGAAAAGUUCUCAUUUAUCCUUUAAUAAUGCAUAUUUUUUGUCACUGUUUAAAAGUUGGAACAAAAUGAGUAAUAAAUUUCAUUGGAACUCAAGUUGUAAAAAUAAAUUAUAAGAUAGAUCGAGCAUCAUUCUCCCUAAUUUUAAUUAAUAGAUCAAACUUUUUCUUCUGGAUAAUUAUUUCGAGGAAUAGUAUCCUUAGCUCGUUUACGUAGGCAACAAGUUAGCAUAACCUACAUAUGAAACAAUAUCUUCUAAAGACUUGAAAAUUCUCGUAAGCAAGAAGUUAGCAUAACCUACAUAUAAAACAAUAUCUUUUAAAGACUUGAAAAGUCUAGUCAAUUUUCUAAACUUUCAUUCUUGAACGAUGUCUAUUUUCUUAUAGGUAAACUCAAGGGACAUUUUCUUUAAAAAAAGUUGAUAAAACAAAUAUGAAAUUGAAUUAAAUUCUCAUAAUUAGAACCGAAGCAGAAAAAAAAUGACGUUAUUUUAUAUUUAAGUAAUGCUACAUAGCAUGAUCUAAGAGAAUAUAAGAAAUUAAAUAAAAAAUAUUAAAUUUUGUAAAAAAAUUAAAAAAUUUUAUAAAUAUUUAAAGGACCAAACUAAAUCGAAAAUCUUAGUUCUAAUUCUAUUCCUAUUGAUUUUUCAAGAAUUCAGUACUGAACCAAACUAAAGUUUUGGAUUCGGCCCAAUACCUAAUCAAAUCGUCUCAUUGCCCACCCUUAAGUAAAUUAUUGUUUAUAUAUAGCUUGUUGCAAAAUAAUAAUCAUAUAGGAUUCAAUUACUUUGAAACAAUUGCAACAUGUGUCAAAUUUUUUCAUUAUGAUACUUCAGCUGUAUACAUGAAAAAGUAGUUUCAACGGUAGGAUGUUGUUAUUUGGUUAUUAACAUUAUACCCUCUAAAACAUAUUUCAGAACUUAAAAACAAUCCGGCCCAAAUUCCAAAUCUCUCUCUUCUUCUCAAAAUCAUCUUCAUCUCAUCUCACCUUCAUUUCAUCUUGUUCCCUAAUUGUCGCCCAAAUUCUCGUCUUGUUCUUGUUCAUUUACAACUGAAUUUGAUUUAGCAUUAUUAUUUGUGGAACUUUCAAAUUAAAUUGACCAAAAGUGACUGUUCCUUUGGGGGCGGACCCAGGCCUCGAAAAUUUUUGCUUAAACCCCUUAAUUUUUUAUAAUUUUUCAUAAAACAAUAUUUAUUUUACUUUUAAAUAUGUCCCCAAUUCAACCUUUUUUUUUUCUUCAAUUAGAGUUAGAGAUUAUAUAUUUAUUGAAUAAAUUGAAAUCAUCAGAAGUUUAAAGACUUAGCACUGCUUUACCUUAUUAUAAAAAAUAUUAUAAUUUGGUCUAAUUGAAAAAAAAAAUGUCAAUAGAUUAUAAUAUUAUCACUAUGAGUAAUUUUAAUCUUAUAAUAAGAGAAUCUUUUACUUUAGGGAAAAAGAUACCUACAUCCUCAAGGUUUAGAGAAAUGGUUAUGUAGAUCUAAAAUUUUUAAUAAAAGAUACCAAGACCCACUUUUGAUUAUAAUACCAUUUAGCACUAUUAACUCAAAAUUUUUUUGUAAGGUUGUCCUACUAUCUUAGUAUGUUAAAUUUGUUGGAAAAAAUCCAAUACUAUUGGGUUAUGUGACAGAAUAAUAAGUCUCUAAAUGGUAUGAUUGAGGUGGUGCGAUGAUCCGACACAAAUAUUUCUUGUCAAACAAAGGGUUCAAAGCCAUAAAAUUAGUAGAGUAAAUGCAAUAAAAUAAUGUUAUUCAUAAAGCUGAAGUUUUAUGCUCCUCCAAAAUUGAUUUAGCUUACUGGCAACCCCGAUAAAAGCUGCCCGGUGCCGGCUAUCAGCCAUCUUUAUAAAUGUGUUGAUUUAUUUAAUAAAUUGAAAAUACAUAAGAAAGUAAGGAGGCCAAAUAAAAUUUAGUAUUGCAAAAGAUUGAAAAAAAGGCGCCACUGUGAUACUACGGUACGAAAGUUGUCGCGCAGUUUCCUUUGUCCUAAUCUCUAACACGAUUCUUCUCAUAAUUCCAUGGAAACAUUGUCUUGUUCUGAACCAAUUAUUGUUGUCAAAUACUUUGUUACAUUCUUUUUAUGAUACACAUAUUAUCAAAAUAUUUGUUACAUUUAUUAAGUUAUUAAUUCAUCAUAUUUUUUAAGUCCUAUGUUACAAAUAUUAUGUUAUGAAAAAGCUGGGUUACUUAAAGUUGGUGUCCAAUCCGACACUCAAUCAAUCACUAAAGCUAGUAUUGCUCUUUGUAUAAAGUUAGUUUCUUUUUUCACUGACAAACAUCUAUCAUAUUGCUUUUCCUAAAAAAGCCAAAGCUAAAUCAAGGUGGAGUUUCUCCAAGAAGCAUAAUUAAUCACAAACCAUAUAAGCAAUAAAAUAUGGUCGGCAACACCCUUUUAUUUCUUCAAUUUAUUUUGUUUUAGGUACAUGAAACCACCCUAUUUUAUAAAAUUACACCACAUUAGGAACACACUUUUAUUUCUUCAAUUUAUUUUGUUUUCGAUACAUGAAACCACCCUAUAUUAUAAAAUUACGCCACAUUAUUUCCACAAGCCAGUGAAGUAUCGGCGAAAACAUCUUAACAAUAGAGAUUUGGGCCAGGAGCAACACCAAAUUUGUUGCAAUAAUCCUUAUAAUAUCCGUUGCGAGCUUGAACCUGAGCAGGUUGCUUGCCACCGCAUUCAAUGGCUCCAUUGAUUCUCUGAAUUGUUGCACCAAAACCUUGGUUCAUAACUGGGUGCACAUAGGUCAUCCAAAACCACAAGGCAGUCUUAAAUGACACAACGGGGUCCCUGGCCACCGUUUCCGGAGCUCUUAAUCCGUCAAACCCGAUAGCUUUUCCGGCAGCUCCGUAGUCGCCAUUUCCGGUGAGUUGGAUCGGUCCACGGCCGUAGUAGAACUUUCCGGGAACACAUGGGUACUGUUGGUUUUGUUCAUCACAGUACCUGUUGUACUUGUUAAUCUCUUCAACGUAGCACAAAUCUGAAAAAGCAAGACAUUUUUUUUUAAUUAAUUCUCUCUAGGCUUAAUCAAGAUAAUCGGCUAGUGGCAAAUCAUAUCAAUUAAAAGUUGGAGUAUUCAAUUAGUUUUAUUGAAAACUUUUAUGUGUUCAUCAAACUGAGAACAUUAUUUAAUAUAUAAAAAGCAUGUAAUUAAAAAGAGUUGUCUAAAUAUACAUGCUAAUUAAGAAAGGCUCUUGCCAACAAGAAAUUAAAAAGCAUAGUAUAUUAUUGUAGAGGGUGAGGGUGCAUAGAUUCUCUAUAAUCGUAUCGAUAUCCUGUUGAUGUAUCAGAAAAAAAUAAAUUUCUUUUUAAAACAAACAUGGGUUGGAAAUAAUUAAUUUCGCAAGAAUUAUAUAUAUUUCGCAAACAGCAGGAAGGUUAUGUUCGUUCCAACCUCAGAUAUAUAUUUCUAGUAGUGAACAAAUAUGGGCCCUUCGAUUUGAAAUUCGACUUCAAUCUCUCUCUUUUUUUUGUGGGAGGGGGGGGGGGGGGGGGGGGGGGGAGGGACAACAGAUAAAUUAAAUUAUAAAAAAACGGAUAUAGUUUUAAAAAAUUUCAAAAACAGUUUUGAAAAUAAUAAAACAAAGAAAAGUCGUUUUCUUCUCUAUGCAUGGAUUGCUCAUAAAUACUCAUGCAAAAAGAAAUAAAAUGGAGAGAACUUACGUCCAGUUUCAUGAGUGACGUGUGCAAAAAAUGCAGCAAUCUCACGCUUCGAAGCUGUAGGAGAGCCGCUACCAAAUUGAGGAUAGGCCUUGGCAGCAUUCAGAAAUGCAUCUCUCGUGUAGAAGCGCCAGCCGGCGCAUCUCGCGGCUGCCUGAUUCUUUAUGCUGUCGAAGAACUGGGGAGUCACAAUGUUAGCAACAUUUUGACACAUUACAUUGGUGGCAAAAGCUAGGGCAAGAAUGCCCACAAGAGCAAAGGUUACAAUAUUUUUUCUCAUAAUAAGUGGAGCCAUUUUGAGGG
This 13938-nucleotide long non-coding RNA is filed under the name Citrus x clementina. RNAcentral's name for it is "Citrus clementina (C. clementina) long non-coding RNA (CCLE_LNC004500)". Lineage: Eukaryota; Viridiplantae; Streptophyta; Magnoliopsida; Sapindales; Rutaceae. The record is from RNAcentral.